UGCGCGGACACCGAAUCCAUGCCGCGCACGCCUCCACUGAUCUUCUUCCCCACGACGCCAACCUCCUCUCCGAGCGCGUCUAUAUAAAUCCAAGAACCUCCGCAGUCUUUCCCCCCUCAUCCGUCGCUCCAUUACGCCACCAGGAUGCCCAAUUUUGCCGCCACCUUCCCAAGGUCGUCACUGACGUGUACGCGGAUCGACGACGACCCGAAGCAACCGCCGCCGCCGCCGUGUUCCCGAGGACCGAGAACUCAUAUCCGCCGUCUCCGAGGAGCAGAACCGUGGGAACAAAGAGUUUCACCGAGUCGAUCUGCGCCUGAUACACCUUUUCCCGAAGCCCGAGGACCACCGGAACGACUGAGCCGCCACCUCCAGAGCCGCCACCGCUGUCGGAAGCCUCGCCGGAAACACCCUAGCCGCCGGAGCUGAGCAAGUUCAAUCUGGACCGUUCAUUUUGCAUCAAGGGCUAUGAUCAGAUCACUUAACGAAGGGGUAAGAUUGUUUGGAUUGCGACGUGCGUUGUUGUGAAGAGUGUAACUCAAACUACUGUGAUCAAGGCAAGUUCACUUUGACCAUGUCCUAAAAUUUUUAUUAUGCAUUAGUGUUCUAUUUGAAUGCAUUGCUAGAACUACUUAUUGUAUCUAUACUAGGUAUGACACCUAGGUAGUGUAGCCAUAUCCUUUUGAUGACAUGUUGCACCAAUAGCCGUUUUAAGUACCUGGUUGAUAGAUUUAGAUGGUUGCUUUGUUUUCUUUUCAUGUAAACAUAUACCACCUUGUACUUUAUUUUGUUUAAUAUAUUGCAGUAGGCAUUUUUAUGUACCGUAUGUUCCUCAAAUAAUAUACCAAGGAUUGUAAGUA
Molecule: long non-coding RNA, 860 nt
Organism: Brachypodium distachyon (stiff brome)
Lineage: Eukaryota; Viridiplantae; Streptophyta; Magnoliopsida; Poales; Poaceae
Exons: 3
Source: RefSeq, a predicted model, not a curated record